Molecule: ribosomal RNA, 445 nt
Filed under: uncultured bacterium
Lineage: Bacteria
Description: bacterial SSU rRNA
Rfam family: Bacterial small subunit ribosomal RNA
Source: RNAcentral
GCCAGACUCCUACGGGAGGCAGCAGUGGGGAAUAUUGGACAAUGGGGGGAACCCUGAUGCAGCGACGCCGCGUGAGUGAAGAAGUAUUUCGGUAUGUAAAGCUCUAUCAGCAGGGAAGAAAAUGACGGUACCUGACUAAGAAGCCCCGGCUAACUACGUGCCAGCAGCCGCGGUAAUACGUAGGGGGCAAGCGUUAUCCGGAUUUACUGGGUGUAAAGGGAGCGUAGACGGCAGCGCAAGUCUGAAGUGAAAUCCCAUGGCUUAACCAUGGAACUGCUUUGGAAACUGAGCAGCUAGAGUGCAGGAGAGGUAAGCGGAAUUCCUAGUGUAGCGGUGAAAUGCGUAGAUAUUAGGAGGAACACCAGUGGCGAAGGCGGCUUACUGGACUGUAACUGACGUUGAGGCUCGAAAGCGUGGGGAGCAAACAGGAUUAGAUACCCGAGUA